AGGGGAUGCCGUACAAGCUGGGAGAUAUCCAUAUUUAUACUUCUCCAAAUUUUAUGUUGGUUGUAUCAUGAGUGGUGUGUUUGGUGUUUUUCUCGCUCUCAGUAAUAUAAAACUUGUGGAAAGUAAUAUAGAUAAGGGAGAAAUGGCAAAAAUAACAGGGAUAUGUAAAUUGGUGGCAUCCGUGACCUCAUUAAUUUUCUUCAAGUCAACAUUCGCAGGCUCACAUUUAUUAUGGU
Ruditapes philippinarum (Manila clam) is the source of this 236-nucleotide long non-coding RNA. RefSeq lists it as uncharacterized. The transcript is spliced from 3 exons. NCBI's taxonomy places the organism in Eukaryota, Metazoa, Mollusca, Bivalvia, Venerida, Veneridae. The record is from RefSeq and is a predicted model, not a curated record.